This 501-nucleotide ribosomal RNA is filed under the name uncultured bacterium. RNAcentral's name for it is "partial 16S ribosomal RNA". It matches the Rfam family "Bacterial small subunit ribosomal RNA", at positions 29 to 523 of the family's 1533-position model. The record is from RNAcentral.
AACGAACGCUGGCGGCAGGCUUAACACAUGCAAGUCGAGCGGGGGAAGGUAGCUUGCUACUGGACCUAGCGGCGGACGGGUGAGUAAUGCUUAGGAAUCUGCCUAUUAGUGGGGGACAACAUCUCGAAAGGGAUGCUAAUACCGCAUACGUCCUACGGGAGAAAGCAGGGGAUCUUCGGACCUUGCGCUAAUAGAUGAGCCUAAGUCGGAUUAGCUAGUUGGUGGGGUAAAGGCCUACCAAGGCGACGAUCUGUAGCGGGUCUGAGAGGAUGAUCCGCCACACUGGGACUGAGACACGGCCCAGACUCCUACGGGAGGCAGCAGUGGGGAAUAUUGGACAAUGGGGGGAACCCUGAUCCAGCCAUGCCGCGUGUGUGAAGAAGGCCUUAUGGUUGUAAAGCACUUUAAGCGAGGAGGAGGCUACUUUAGUUAAUACCUAGAGAUAGUGGACGUUACUCGCAGAAUAAGCACCGGCUAACUCUGUGCCAGCAGCCGCGGUAA